GUGUAUGCGGUGCUAUACAUGCAAGUCGAGCGAACUGAUUAGAAGCUUGCUUCUAUGACGUUAGCGGCGGACGGGUGAGUAACACGUGGGCAACCUGCCUGUAAGACUGGGAUAACUUCGGGAAACCGAAGCUAAUACCGGAUAGGAUCUUCUCCUUCAUGGGAGAUGAUUGAAAGAUGGUUUCGGCUAUCACUUACAGAUGGGCCCGCGGUGCAUUAGCUAGUUGGUGAGGUAACGGCUCACCAAGGCAACGAUGCAUAGCCGACCUGAGAGGGUGAUCGGCCACACUGGGACUGAGACACGGCCCAGACUCCUACGGGAGGCAGCAGUAGGGAAUCUUCCGCAAUGGACGAAAGUCUGACGGAGCAACGCCGCGUGAGUGAUGAAGGCUUUCGGGUCGUAAAACUCUGUUGUUAGGGAAGAACAAGUACGAGAGUAACUGCUCGUACCUUGACGGUACCUAACCAGAAAGCCACGGCUAACUACGUGCCAGCAGCCGCGGUAAUACGUAGGUGGCAAGCGUUAUCCGGAAUUAUUGGGCGUAAAGCGCGCGCAGGCGGUUUCUUAAGUCUGAUGUGAAAGCCCACGGCUCAACCGUGGAGGGUCAUUGGAAACUGGGGAACUUGAGUGCAGAAGAGAAAAGCGGAAUUCCACGUGUAGCGGUGAAAUGCGUAGAGAUGUGGAGGAACACCAGUGGCGAAGGCGGCUUUUUGGUCUGUAACUGACGCUGAGGCGCGAAAGCGUGGGGGAGCAAACAGGAUUAGAUACCCUGGUAGUCCACGCCGUAAACGAUGAGUGCUAAGUGUUAGAGGGUUUCCCGCCCUUUUAGUGCUGCAGCUAACGCAUUAAGCACUCCGCCCUGGGGGAGUGCGGUCGCGAGACGGAACU
This 888-nucleotide ribosomal RNA is filed under the name Bacillus sp. gx-82. Its description in RNAcentral is "bacterial SSU rRNA". It matches the Rfam family "Bacterial small subunit ribosomal RNA", at positions 33 to 901 of the family's 1533-position model. Lineage: Bacteria; Bacillati; Bacillota; Bacilli; Caryophanales; Bacillaceae. The record is from RNAcentral.